CCUACGGGACGCAGCAGUAGGGAAUUUUGCGCAAUGGGCGAAAGCCUGACGCAGCAACACCGCGUGAAUGUUAAGCCCUUCGGGGUGUAAAGUUCUGUCAAUAGGGACGAAUUUUGACUGUACCUAUAAAGGAAGCACCGGCUAACUCCGUGCCAGCAGCCGCGGUCAUACGGGGGGUGCAAGCGUUGUCCGGAAUCAUUGGGCGGAAGGGGUUCGUAGGCGGCAAGGUAAGGCUGAUGGUCAAGCCGGGGGCUCAACUCCGGUUCGGCAUUGGAUACUAUCUAGCUAGAAUGUGAUAGAGGUAAAGGGAAUGCCUGGUGUAGCGGUGAAAUGCGUAGAUAUCAGGAGGAACAUCGGUGGCGAAAGCGCUUUACUGGACCAUUAUUGACGCUGAGGAACGAAAGCCAGGGGAGCAAAUGGGAUUAGAUACCCUGGUAGUC
RNAcentral lists this ribosomal RNA (440 nucleotides) under uncultured bacterium. Its description in RNAcentral is "partial 16S ribosomal RNA". It matches the Rfam family "Bacterial small subunit ribosomal RNA", at positions 338 to 795 of the family's 1533-position model. The record is from RNAcentral.